AACAAGGAUUCCCCUAGUAACGGCGAGUGAAGCGGGAAGAGCUCAAAUUUAAAAUCUGGCGGUGUAUUCCGUCCGAGUUGUAGUCUAGAGAAGCGUCAUCCGCGCUGGACCAUGUACAAGUCUCUUGGAACAGAGCGUCAUAGAGGGUGAGAAUCCCGUCCUUGACAUGGACUCCCAGUGCUUUGUGUUGUGCUCUCGACGAGUCGAGUUGUUUGGGAAUGCAGCUCAAAAUGGGUGGUAAAUUCCAUCUAAAGCUAAAUAUUGGCGAGAGACCGAUAGCGAACAAGUACCGUGAGGGAAAGAUGAAAAGCACUUUGGAGAGAGAGUUAAACAGUACGUGAAAUUGUUAAAAGGGAAAC
RNAcentral lists this ribosomal RNA (359 nucleotides) under Ceratobasidiaceae sp. CBS 499.93. Its description in RNAcentral is "eukaryotic LSU rRNA". It matches the Rfam family "Eukaryotic large subunit ribosomal RNA", at positions 67 to 420 of the family's 3401-position model. Lineage: Eukaryota; Fungi; Basidiomycota; Agaricomycetes; Cantharellales; Ceratobasidiaceae. The record is from RNAcentral.